This 65-nucleotide transfer RNA is filed under the name [Eubacterium] saphenum. It matches the Rfam family "tRNA". From Rfam's summary of the family: Transfer RNA (tRNA) molecules are approximately 80 nucleotides in length. Lineage: Bacteria; Bacillati; Bacillota; Clostridia; Peptostreptococcales; Anaerovoracaceae. RNAcentral also lists the same sequence under 11 other names. The record is from RNAcentral.
GGCGUGGCUCAACGGUAGAGCAGCUGAUUUGUAAUCAGCAGGUUGGGGGUUCGAUUCCCUCCGCC